GGGGUUGUGGCUCAGCUGUAGAGCACUUGCCUCACACGUAUGAAGCACUGAGUUUGAUCCUCAGCACCA
Molecule: transfer RNA, 69 nt
Filed under: Ictidomys tridecemlineatus (thirteen-lined ground squirrel)
Lineage: Eukaryota; Metazoa; Chordata; Mammalia; Rodentia; Sciuridae
Description: Spermophilus tridecemlineatus (thirteen-lined ground squirrel) tRNA
Rfam family: tRNA
About the family: Transfer RNA (tRNA) molecules are approximately 80 nucleotides in length. Their secondary structure includes four short double-helical elements and three loops (D, anti-codon, and T loops). Further hydrogen bonds mediate the characteristic L-shaped molecular structure. tRNAs have two regions of fundamental functional importance: the anti-codon, which is responsible for specific mRNA codon recognition, and the 3' end, to which the tRNAs corresponding amino acid is attached (by aminoacyl-tRNA synthetases). tRNAs cope with the degeneracy of the genetic code in two manners: having more than one tRNA (with a specific anti-codon) for a particular amino acid; and 'wobble' base-pairing, i.e. permitting non-standard base-pairing at the 3rd anti-codon position.
Source: Rfam by way of RNAcentral